UCCUCGGUAGUAUAGUGGUUAGUAUCCGCGUCCGUCACAUGGGAGACCUGAGUUCAAUUCCCGGCCGGGGAG
Angiostrongylus costaricensis is the source of this 72-nucleotide non-coding RNA. The record is from Rfam. NCBI's taxonomy places the organism in Eukaryota, Metazoa, Nematoda, Chromadorea, Rhabditida, Metastrongylidae.